GUAGGUGGCAAGCGUUGUCCGGAAUUAUUGGGCGUAAAGCGCGCGCAGGCGGUCCUUUAAGUCUGAUGUGAAAGCCCACGGGCUCAACCGUGGAGGGUCAUUGGAAACUGGGGGACUUGAGUACAGAAGAGGAAAGCGGAAUUCCAAGUGUAGCGGUGGAAUGCGUAGAGAUUUGGAGGAACACCAGUGGCGAAGGCGGCUUUCUGGUCUGUAACUGACGCUGAGGCGCGAAAGCGUGGGGAGCAAACAGGAUUAGAUACCCUGGUAGGCCACGCCGUAGACGAUGAGUGCUAAGUGUUAGGGGGUUUCCGCCCCUUAGUGCUGCAGCUAACGCAUUAAGCACUCCGCCUGGGGAGUACGGCCGCAAAGGCUG
Molecule: ribosomal RNA, 373 nt
Filed under: uncultured organism
Description: partial 16S ribosomal RNA
Rfam family: Bacterial small subunit ribosomal RNA
Source: RNAcentral